This 477-nucleotide ribosomal RNA is filed under the name Flavobacteriaceae bacterium JJ-2776. Its description in RNAcentral is "bacterial SSU rRNA". It matches the Rfam family "Bacterial small subunit ribosomal RNA", at positions 1 to 485 of the family's 1533-position model. The record is from RNAcentral. Lineage: Bacteria; Pseudomonadati; Bacteroidota; Flavobacteriia; Flavobacteriales; Flavobacteriaceae.
UGAGUUUUUAUCCUGGCUCAGGAUGAACGCUAGCGGCAGGCUUAACACAUGCAAGUCGAGGGGUAUAGUUCUUCGGAAUUAGAGACCGGCGCACGGGUGCGUAACGCGUAUGCAAUCUACCUUUUACAGAGGGAUAGCCCAGAGAAAUUUGGAUUAAUACCUCAUAGUAUAAUAGCUCGGCAUCGAGCAAUUAUUAAAGUCACAACGGUAAAAGAUGAGCAUGCGUCCCAUUAGCUAGUUGGUAAGGUAACGGCUUACCAAGGCUACGAUGGGUAGGGGUCCUGAGAGGGAGAUCCCCCACACUGGUACUGAGACACGGACCAGACUCCUACGGGAGGCAGCAGUGAGGAAUAUUGGACAAUGGGCGCAAGCCUGAUCCAGCCAUGCCGCGUGCAGGAUGACGGUCCUAUGGAUUGUAAACUGCUUUUAUACGAGAAGAAACACUACUUCGUGAAGUAGCUUGACGGUAUCGUAAGA